CCAAUGUUAAUCUCGUACUUGGGGCGCACAUACUGAACGUUCGUCGUUAUCAUCGCCCCGGGAAGGUCUGAGGAAAGGUCUCCUGUGUUCAAAACAUUCUAGACGGAUGCUUCUCCUAUCGGGAAGAUGGGGGAACAAGAAAAUACAAAGUCAAGUUUAAGCGAGGACGUCUGAGCUCUCGGGCUCAGAUCGAGCAGAGAAUUUGGAUUUUGUUGGAAGCCCCCAUGACCAGCACUUUUAGUCCAAUCUACGAGAUGACGCCAAGUCACAACUCAAUUCAGACUAGUCUCUCAUUGG
This 297-nucleotide RNase P RNA is filed under the name Danaus plexippus plexippus. RNAcentral's name for it is "Nuclear RNase P". It matches the Rfam family "Nuclear RNase P". Rfam says of the family: Ribonuclease P (RNase P) is a ubiquitous endoribonuclease, found in archaea, bacteria and eukarya as well as chloroplasts and mitochondria. The record is from Rfam by way of RNAcentral. Lineage: Eukaryota; Metazoa; Arthropoda; Insecta; Lepidoptera; Nymphalidae.